Molecule: ribosomal RNA, 253 nt
Filed under: uncultured bacterium
Lineage: Bacteria
Description: partial 16S ribosomal RNA
Rfam family: Bacterial small subunit ribosomal RNA
Source: RNAcentral
UACAUAGGCCCCAAGCGUUACUGAGAAUCACUGGGCUUAAAGGGUGCGUAGGUGGCGCGUUAAGUCCGUUGUGAAAGCCCUGGGCUCAACCCAGGAACUGCUUCGGAUACUGGCGCGCUUGAGGCUAGUAGGGGUCACUGGAACUGACGGUGGAGCGGUGAAAUGCGUAGAUAUCGUCAGGAACGCCAAUGGUGAAGACAGGUGACUGGACUAGUUCUGACACUGAGGCACGAAAGCGUGGGGAGCGAACGGG